GUACUACUUUUUAGAGCUCUGAAGUUACCACCCACAAUAAGUGACUUAUCGGGCUAUUCACUAUUGGUUUUAGUGCUAGACCUAACUAGCCAUAUUUUGGCUAAAUACAUUUUGAUCUCAGAUAUUACCAACCAACUACAAUGUAAAUUACUAGUCUAAUGACAAAGAGUUACCACAUUGAAAACUGAUCUCACUCAUGAAGUUCCAGUGAGAGUUCCAGUAAUAGAGUUAUCGUACUAUCCACAAGUAGUUAUCAGCUAGUAAACUGUGAGUUAUCGGGCUCUAUUCAUAAGUAGUCAUCAGUUUUUAACACAAAGUCUUAUCUAAACACCAUGGUAACUAAACAAGUGCUAUGGUGGUAACUAUAACCUAUAUAACUAGCAAACUACAUCGGUGCUACGAUGAUAAAUAUACCAUGAAUAGCUAGGUAACUCUCUUAAGUGCCAUCGUGGUAACUGUAACUCAAAAGUUGGGUAACUAUGUGAUGAGAUGUGGUAUAUAUGUACUUUGAAGAGCCAGAUAACUCCAAUAUGUUAUUGUGGUAACUUUAAGAUGGCAAGUAGGUAA
Non-coding RNA from Brachypodium distachyon (stiff brome), 567 nucleotides. Lineage: Eukaryota; Viridiplantae; Streptophyta; Magnoliopsida; Poales; Poaceae. The record is from RefSeq and is marked provisional.